Molecule: ribosomal RNA, 531 nt
Filed under: uncultured organism
Description: bacterial SSU rRNA
Rfam family: Bacterial small subunit ribosomal RNA
Source: RNAcentral
GGAUUAGAUACCCUGGUAGUCCACACUGUAAACGGUGCAGACUCGAUGCGGGGGACGAUCCCCACCGUGUCUAACCCAACGCGUGAAGUCUCCCGCCUGGGGACUACGUCCGCAAGGCUCAAACUCAAAGGAAUUGACGGGGGCCCGCACAAGCGUUGGAGUAUGUGGCUUAAUUCGAGGCAACGCGAAGAACCUUACCCGGGCUUGACAUAUUCCGGACCGCCUGUGAAAGCAGGUUUUCCCCUCGGGGACCGGUAUACAGGUGCUGCAUGGCUGUCGUCAGCUCGUGCCUUGAGCUGUUCGGUUAAGUCCGGCAACGAGCAGCAACCCGUAUCGUCAGUUGCCAUCAGGUAAUGCUGGGCACUCAGGCGAGAAUGACCGUGUCAAGCGGGAGGAAGGAGCAGGACGACGUAAAGUCCGUAUGGCCCUUACGCCCAGGGACUGUACACGUGCAACAAUGGGCGGUACAGUGGGAAGCGAAACCGCGAGGUGAAGCGAAUCCCCAAAACCGCCCCCAGUUCGGAUCGGAGU